GGACUACACGGGUAUCUAAUCCCGUUCGCUCCCCUGGCUUUCGCGCCUCAGCGUCAGUGGAGGGCCAGCCCGUCGCUUUCGCCACCGGCGUUCCUUCCGAUAUCAACGCAUUUCACCGCUCCACCGGAAGUUCCACAGGCCCCUACCUCCCUCAAGACGAGCAGUUUCCCAGGCACUUUUCCGGUUAAGCCGAAAGAUUUCACCCCGGACUUGCUCGUCCGCCUACGCGCCCUUUAAGCCCAGUGAAUCCGAAUAACGUUCGCACGGUUCGUCUUACCGCGGCUGCUGGCAC
Molecule: ribosomal RNA, 292 nt
Filed under: uncultured bacterium
Lineage: Bacteria
Also listed under: 1 other name
Description: partial 16S ribosomal RNA
Source: RNAcentral